AGGGGACAUGCGGGACGCAUGGCAUGCACCAGUUGGCCCAGGAACACCUGCCGCCAUAACUGCGCUAGGAUCCGUCGGCUAUUUAAACCCCCUAAUCUCCCUUCAUGGCUUCAUCCUGUUGAUAGGACGGUACCUUUCUUUCACCUGAGAGCCUAGCUACUCAGCUACUUCCCUUGCACCAGUCUCCGCCUUCUUCAGCCCCCCACUUCUUCUCUGAGGGUUCCCACACCAUGUCUCCUACCCCGGAGGCCCUCCUUGAAGGGAUAUCUAGGGCUUGGAGGAAGGCGAGGAGGAGAACAGCGGCCGGUGAGGAUCCCCGUUGUUUCAAAGGAGGCUCAAGGAAGAAUUUCUUCAACAACAGGGGUUUAAUAACGGGGGCCGUCGGUAAAGUUAUUCUGCCCGAGAAUUUCGGAGUAGCAAGGUGGGGUGAUACCGG
RNAcentral lists this long non-coding RNA (436 nucleotides) under Elaeis guineensis (African oil palm). RNAcentral's name for it is "long non-coding RNA (EGUI_LNC070106)". Lineage: Eukaryota; Viridiplantae; Streptophyta; Magnoliopsida; Arecales; Arecaceae. The record is from RNAcentral.